This 543-nucleotide ribosomal RNA is filed under the name uncultured Glomeromycotina. Its description in RNAcentral is "SSU rRNA". It matches the Rfam family "Eukaryotic small subunit ribosomal RNA", at positions 548 to 1098 of the family's 1831-position model. The record is from RNAcentral. Lineage: Eukaryota; Fungi; Glomeromycota.
UUGGAGGGCAGUCUGGUGCAGCAGCGCGGUAAUUCCAGCUCCAUAGCGUAUAUUAAGUUGUUGCAGUUAAAAAGCUCGUAGUUGAAUUUCGGGAUCAGAGUGUCGGUCGUGCCUCGGUACGCACUGGUAUUAUUGGUUCCUACCUUCUGAAGAACCGCGAUGUCAUUAAUUUGGUGUCGUGGGGAAUCAGGACUGUUACUUUGAAAAAAUUAGAGUGUUUAAAGCAGGCUUACGCUUGAAUACAUUAGCAUGGAAUAAUGAAAUAGGACGUUUGAUUCUAUUUUGUUGGUUUCUAGGAUUGACGUAAUGAUUAAUAGGGAUAGUUGGGGGCAUUAGUAUUCAAUUGUCAGAGGUGAAAUUCUUGGAUUUAUUGAAGACUAACUACUGCGAAAGCAUUUGCCAAGGAUGUUUUCAUUAAUCAAGAACGAAAGUUAGGGGAUCGAAGACGAUCAGAUACCGUCGUAGUCUUAACCAUAAACUAUGCCGACUAGGGAUCGGAUGAUGUUAAUUUUUUAAUGACUCAUUCGGCGCCUUACGGGAAAC